RNAcentral lists this small RNA (319 nucleotides) under Histoplasma capsulatum. RNAcentral's name for it is "hypothetical RNA". RNAcentral also lists the same sequence under 1 other name. The record is from RNAcentral. Lineage: Eukaryota; Fungi; Ascomycota; Eurotiomycetes; Onygenales; Ajellomycetaceae.
AUCACUGCUAAUCUAUCGCUGCUAAUCUAUUGCUGUCAAUCUAUCUACUGCUGCCAAUCUAUCUACUGCUGCCAAUCUAUCUAUCACUGCCAAUCUAUAUAGAGUAAAUCAUGAUCCCAUUUGAUCCCAUUUUGUAAAAUGAGAUUAAAUGAAAUCAGAAUCACUAAUUUAUUAGUAAAACAUGAUCUGAGACUAGAUUUAUAAUAUAAACAGUGUAAAGUAACUAAUUUGUUAAAUACUAUAUGAAAUCAGAACUAAGAUAUCUAAUAAUGAAACUGAGGAAAAAUUUGGUCUCAGUUCUAUACAUGAUCACACAGCC